ACCUGGCUGGCUCAAGUCAGUAGAGAAUGUGACUCUUAAUCUCAAGGUCAUGAGUUUAAGCCCCAUGUUGGGUA
Molecule: non-coding RNA, 74 nt
Organism: Canis lupus familiaris (dog)
Lineage: Eukaryota; Metazoa; Chordata; Mammalia; Carnivora; Canidae
Source: Rfam